AGUUGGUGGAGUGAUUUGUCUGGUUAAUUCCGUUAACGAACGAGACCUUGACCUGCUAACUAGUUACAGAGUCAUCCAACUUUGUAUACUUCUUAGAGGGACUAUGGAUUACAAGUCCAUGGAAGUUUGAGGCAAUAACAGGU
This 143-nucleotide ribosomal RNA is filed under the name Ciliophora sp. Its description in RNAcentral is "partial small subunit ribosomal RNA". It matches the Rfam family "Eukaryotic small subunit ribosomal RNA", at positions 1296 to 1461 of the family's 1831-position model. The record is from RNAcentral. Lineage: Eukaryota; Ciliophora.